GGGGAAUAUUGGACAAUGGGCGCAAGCCUGAUCCAGCCAUGCCGCGUGAGUGAUGAAGGCCCUAGGGUUGUAAAGCUCUUUCACCGGUGAAGAUAAUGACGGUAACCGGAGAAGAAGCCCCGGCUAACUUCGUGCCAGCAGCCGCGGUAAUACGAAGGGGGCUAGCGUUGUUCGGAAUUACUGGGCGUAAAGCGCACGUAGGCGGAUCGAUCAGUUAGGGGUGAAAUCCCGGGGCUCAACCCCGGAACUGCCUCUAAUACUGUCGAUCUGGAGUUCGAGAGAGGUGAGUGGAAUUCCGAGUGUAGAGGUGAAAUUCGUAGAUAUUCGGAGGAACACCAGUGGCGAAGGCGGCUCACUGGCUCGAUACUGACGCUGAGGUGCGAAAGCGUGGGGAGCAAACA
This 401-nucleotide ribosomal RNA is filed under the name uncultured bacterium. RNAcentral's name for it is "bacterial SSU rRNA". It matches the Rfam family "Bacterial small subunit ribosomal RNA", at positions 356 to 774 of the family's 1533-position model. The record is from RNAcentral.